GCCGAAGUGGCGGAACAGGCAGACGCGCACGACUCAAACUCGUGUUCCCUCUGGGAUUGUGGGUUCGAUUCCCACCUUCGGCA
This 83-nucleotide transfer RNA is filed under the name Anaerolineae bacterium. RNAcentral's name for it is "tRNA-Leu". It matches the Rfam family "tRNA". Rfam says of the family: Transfer RNA (tRNA) molecules are approximately 80 nucleotides in length. Their secondary structure includes four short double-helical elements and three loops (D, anti-codon, and T loops). The record is from RNAcentral. Lineage: Bacteria; Bacillati; Chloroflexota; Anaerolineae.